This 2904-nucleotide ribosomal RNA is filed under the name Salmonella enterica subsp. enterica serovar Dublin. Its description in RNAcentral is "23S ribosomal RNA". It matches the Rfam family "Bacterial large subunit ribosomal RNA". The record is from RNAcentral. Lineage: Bacteria; Pseudomonadati; Pseudomonadota; Gammaproteobacteria; Enterobacterales; Enterobacteriaceae.
GGUUAAGCGACUAAGCGUACACGGUGGAUGCCCUGGCAGUCAGAGGCGAUGAAGGGCGUGCUAAUCUGCGAUAAGCGCCGUAAGGUGAUAUGAACCGUUAUAACCGGCGAUACCCGAAUGGGGAAACCCAGUGUGAUUCGUCACACUAUCAUUAACUGAAUCCAUAGGUUAAUGAGGCGAACCGGGGGAACUGAAACAUCUAAGUACCCCGAGGAAAAGAAAUCAACCGAGAUUCCCCCAGUAGCGGCGAGCGAACGGGGAGGAGCCCAGAGCCUGAAUCAGCAUGUGUGUUAGUGGAAGCGUCUGGAAAGGCGCGCGAUACAGGGUGACAGCCCCGUACACAAAAGCGCAUGUGCUGUGAGCUCGAUGAGUAGGGCGGGACACGUGGUAUCCUGUCUGAAUAUGGGGGGACCAUCCUCCAAGGCUAAAUACUCCUGACUGACCGAUAGUGAACCAGUACCGUGAGGGAAAGGCGAAAAGAACCCCGGCGAGGGGAGUGAAAAAGAACCUGAAACCGUGUACGUACAAGCAGUGGGAGCACAGGUUUACCUGUGUGACUGCGUACCUUUUGUAUAAUGGGUCAGCGACUUAUAUUCUGUAGCAAGGUUAACCGAAUAGGGGAGCCGGAGGGAAACCGAGUCUUAAUUGGGCGUUAAGUUGCAGGGUAUAGACCCGAAACCCGGUGAUCUAGCCAUGGGCAGGUUGAAGGUUGGGUAACACUAACUGGAGGACCGAACCGACUAAUGUUGAAAAAUUAGCGGAUGACCUGUGGCUGGGGGUGAAAGGCCAAUCAAACCGGGAGAUAGCUGGUUCUCCCCGAAAGCUAUUUAGGUAGCGCCUCGUGAAUUCAUCUCCGGGGGUAGAGCACUGUUUCGGCUAGGGGGCCAUCCCGGCUUACCAACCCGAUGCAAACUGCGAAUACCGGAGAAUGUUAUCACGGGAGACACACGGCGGGUGCUAACGUCCGUCGUGAAGGGAAACAACCCAGACCGCCAGCUAAGGUCCCAAAGUCAUGGUUAAGUGGGAAACGAUGUGGGAAGGCCCAGACAGCCAGGAUGUUGGCUUAGAAGCAGCCAUCAUUUAAAGAAAGCGUAAUAGCUCACUGGUCGAGUCGGCCUGCGCGGAAGAUGUAACGGGGCUAAACCAUGCACCGAAGCUGCGGCAGCGACGCUUAUGCGUUGUUGGGUAGGGGAGCGUUCUGUAAGCCUGUGAAGGUGGCCUGUGAGGGUUGCUGGAGGUAUCAGAAGUGCGAAUGCUGACAUAAGUAACGAUAAAGCGGGUGAAAAGCCCGCUCGCCGGAAGACCAAGGGUUCCUGUCCAACGUUAAUCGGGGCAGGGUGAGUCGACCCCUAAGGCGAGGCCGAAAGGCGUAGUCGAUGGGAAACGGGUUAAUAUUCCCGUACUUGGUGUUACUGCGAAGGGGGGACGGAGAAGGCUAUGUUGGCCGGGCGACGGUUGUCCCGGUUUAAGCGUGUAGGUGUGUGUUCCAGGUAAAUCCGGUUCACUUUAACACUGAGGCGUGAUGACGAGGCACUACGGUGCUGAAGUAACAAAUGCCCUGCUUCCAGGAAAAGCCUCUAAGCAUCAGGUAACAUCAAAUCGUACCCCAAACCGACACAGGUGGUCAGGUAGAGAAUACCAAGGCGCUUGAGAGAACUCGGGUGAAGGAACUAGGCAAAAUGGUGCCGUAACUUCGGGAGAAGGCACGCUGACACGUAGGUGAAGUGAUUUACUCAUGGAGCUGAAGUCAGUCGAAGAUACCAGCUGGCUGCAACUGUUUAUUAAAAACACAGCACUGUGCAAACACGAAAGUGGACGUAUACGGUGUGACGCCUGCCCGGUGCCGGAAGGUUAAUUGAUGGGGUCAGCGCAAGCGAAGCUCCUGAUCGAAGCCCCGGUAAACGGCGGCCGUAACUAUAACGGUCCUAAGGUAGCGAAAUUCCUUGUCGGGUAAGUUCCGACCUGCACGAAUGGCGUAAUGAUGGCCAGGCUGUCUCCACCCGAGACUCAGUGAAAUUGAACUCGCUGUGAAGAUGCAGUGUACCCGCGGCAAGACGGAAAGACCCCGUGAACCUUUACUAUAGCUUGACACUGAACAUUGAGCCUUGAUGUGUAGGAUAGGUGGGAGGCUUUGAAGCGUGGACGCCAGUCUGCGUGGAGCCGACCUUGAAAUACCACCCUUUAAUGUUUGAUGUUCUAACGUGGACCCGUGAUCCGGGUUGCGGACAGUGUCUGGUGGGUAGUUUGACUGGGGCGGUCUCCUCCUAAAGAGUAACGGAGGAGCACGAAGGUUGGCUAAUCCUGGUCGGACAUCAGGAGGUUAGUGCAAUGGCAUAAGCCAGCUUGACUGCGAGCGUGACGGCGCGAGCAGGUGCGAAAGCAGGUCAUAGUGAUCCGGUGGUUCUGAAUGGAAGGGCCAUCGCUCAACGGAUAAAAGGUACUCCGGGGAUAACAGGCUGAUACCGCCCAAGAGUUCAUAUCGACGGCGGUGUUUGGCACCUCGAUGUCGGCUCAUCACAUCCUGGGGCUGAAGUAGGUCCCAAGGGUAUGGCUGUUCGCCAUUUAAAGUGGUACGCGAGCUGGGUUUAGAACGUCGUGAGACAGUUCGGUCCCUAUCUGCCGUGGGCGCUGGAGAACUGAGGGGGCUGCUCCUAGUACGAGAGGACCGGAGUGGACGCAUCACUGGUGUUCGGGUUGUCAUGCCAAUGGCACUGCCCGGUAGCUAAAUGCGGAAGAGAUAAGUGCUGAAAGCAUCUAAGCACGAAACUUGCCCCGAGAUGAGUUCUCCCUGAGACUUAGAGUCUCCUGAAGGAACGUUGAAGACGACGACGUUGAUAGGCCGGGUGUGUAAGCGCAGCGAUGCGUUGAGCUAACCGGUACUAAUGAACCGUGAGGCUUAACCUU